RNAcentral lists this ribosomal RNA (220 nucleotides) under uncultured prokaryote. RNAcentral's name for it is "partial 16S ribosomal RNA". It matches the Rfam family "Bacterial small subunit ribosomal RNA", at positions 524 to 743 of the family's 1533-position model. The record is from RNAcentral.
UACAGAGGUCUCAAGCGUUGUUCGGAUUCAUUGGGCGUAAAGGGUGCGUAGGUGGCGCCGUAAGUCGGGUGUGAAAUUUCGGAGCUUAACUCCGAAACUGCAUUCGAUACUGCGGUGCUUGAGGACUGGAGAGGGAUGCGGAAUUCCAGGUGUAGCGGUGAAAUGCGUAGAUAUCUGGAGGAACACCGGUGGCGAAGGCGGCAUCCUGGACCGGCAUUGA